GGAGAGGUGGCAGAGUGGUCGAACGCGGCAGUCUUGAAAACUGUUAGGCCGAAAGGUCUCGAGGGUUCGAAUCCCUCCCUCUCCGCCA
RNAcentral lists this transfer RNA (88 nucleotides) under Candidatus Peregrinibacteria bacterium CG_4_9_14_0_2_um_filter_53_11. RNAcentral describes it as "tRNA-Ser". It matches the Rfam family "tRNA". From Rfam's summary of the family: Transfer RNA (tRNA) molecules are approximately 80 nucleotides in length. The record is from RNAcentral. Lineage: Bacteria; Candidatus Peregrinibacteriota.